Molecule: ribosomal RNA, 115 nt
Filed under: uncultured eukaryote
Lineage: Eukaryota
Description: partial small subunit ribosomal RNA
Rfam family: Bacterial small subunit ribosomal RNA
Source: RNAcentral
GUCUGUACCCAAAGUCACUUUAGCCAACCUGCAAAGGAGGCGAGUGCCUAAGGUAUGGGGAUGAUUGGGGUGAAGUCGUAACAAGGUAGCUGUAGGUGAACCUGCAGAAGGAUCA